GACGAACGCUGGCGGCGUGCCUGACACAUGCAAGUCGGACGGUUCUUGUAUCUUCAAGCUUGCUUGCAGGUGCAAGGAUAGUGGCGGACGGGUGAGUAACGCGUGAACAUCUACCCAUUGGAGGGGGACAACCCGUCGAAAGGACGGGCGUAAUACCGCGUAAGCCGCGAGGUGAGAGGCUGCCUAUUGGUGGCCGCCGAUGGAUGGGUUCGCGUCCUAUCAGCUGGUUGGUGGGGUAACGGCCUACCAAGGCGAAGACGGGUAGCCGGUCUGAGAGGAUGGCCGGCCACACUGGAACUGAGACACGGUCCAGACUCCUACGGGAGGCAGCAGUGGGGAAUAUUGGGCAAUGGGGGAGGACCCUGACCCAGCGACGCCGCGUGAGGGAUGAAGGUUUUCGGAUCGUAAACCUCUGUUGUACGGGAAGAAGGAUGUGACGGUACCGUACGAGAAAGCCCCGGCAAACUACGUG
Molecule: ribosomal RNA, 472 nt
Filed under: uncultured bacterium
Lineage: Bacteria
Description: bacterial SSU rRNA
Rfam family: Bacterial small subunit ribosomal RNA
Source: RNAcentral